AAAUAUAUUAUCUUACCUUUCUCCAAGCAGUUCCUUUCCAUUUAAUUCAUAAACUGCAUCAUCUGCGUCUCUGUAGUCUUCAAAUUCCUGUAUCAAGCAAAGUAUCCAUAUUCAAUGAGGUUCUCAAUCUGGUGAAAAUUUUUUAGUGAAAGUUUUUAAAAUGAGA
Maniola jurtina (meadow brown) is the source of this 166-nucleotide long non-coding RNA. RefSeq lists it as uncharacterized. Lineage: Eukaryota; Metazoa; Arthropoda; Insecta; Lepidoptera; Nymphalidae. The transcript has 4 exons. The record is from RefSeq and is a predicted model, not a curated record.